AACGCACCUUGCGCUCCUUGGUAUUCCGAGGAGCAUGCCUGUUUGAGCAUCAUUAAACUCUCAACUUCAAAAAUUUUCUUAAUAAAGCUUUUUUUGAGGCUUGGACUUGGAGUGUGCUGGUUUUUUUAUUUUUAAAACGUCAGCUCCUCUUAAAUGCAUUAGCAGAAAUCCUUUACAAUGAAGAGAGAGAGGGAUGGGCUUUGGUUUGAUAACAGUCUAUGCCAUUGCCAUAAAAUUUCUCUUGCUGAUCUUCCUUGUGACUUUUGCUUAUAAUGGUCGAAAGACAAUUUAUAUUUUUGAAUUUGAUCUCAAAUCAGGUAGGAUUACCCGCUGAACUUAA
Molecule: unclassified non-coding RNA, 340 nt
Filed under: uncultured fungus
Lineage: Eukaryota; Fungi
Description: sequence contains ITS2
Source: RNAcentral